CCAGCAGAAGAACAUUGGGCCAGAAAAAAGCAUUGAGCUUGAGGGACUAGACUAAUCAAAAAAUGGAAUAACAUGGCAACAAUUACACUGAUGAGUGAGAGGGAAGCUACAGAUGCAUUCAGACACCUAUGGCACCACAGACUCAACGCAUUCAGCAUUUUGUGUUUAGUGUCUUGUGUUUUUGAGAGCAGGGAACUGAUAACCUCUCCUCAAAGAAAGUAAAAGGCAUGAAAUACCAUCAUUCUCAUGGAGAAACUGG
Molecule: long non-coding RNA, 259 nt
Filed under: Homo sapiens (human)
Lineage: Eukaryota; Metazoa; Chordata; Mammalia; Primates; Hominidae
Description: non-protein coding LINC00609:5
Source: RNAcentral